Oncorhynchus tshawytscha (Chinook salmon) is the source of this 1188-nucleotide long non-coding RNA. The record is from Ensembl. Lineage: Eukaryota; Metazoa; Chordata; Actinopteri; Salmoniformes; Salmonidae.
UGCAUGUAUACAAAUCAUUUCCAUGUUCAUGACUUUUACAGGCCCAUCUUGAGGGUAGCAAAUCUAGUAUGGUUUCCUUUUGAGAAUAUAUGAAGACAUGGAUUUUUGCAUCAAUAUGUACAGAGGUUUAUUUGUGAUUUUUCAAAACAUUAUAUACUACAUACAAUGCACAUAAAUCAAUGUACAAUGGAUCAACUUCAGAAGAAUAAGAGAAACACAAAAACAGCCGGCGAUUGAACAAAGACAAUGGUUUUACUAUCAACUAGAGCAUUGAUAUCAUUAACAAACACCAAGAUCGUUGAAAGACCGUGUGAAGCAUUGAGUCAUGAGAAUGACAUGGUGUGCAUGUAUAAAAAAUGACUUAUCUUGGGACUUUGAUAUUAAUUACAAUGAUUGAUUACUAAAUGAGAAAUGGUCUGGCCACCAGAAGUCGUCAACAAAAAUGUCCAACAAAGUACACCAGUGUAUGUUAUGUUUUUGGACCAGUCACAAGAUCAACUGAUGCUUCAUCAUCAACUAAAUACAAUAAUAUUGACCUAAGAAAAUGUAUCAAGGAGAGCAGUGGGGAUUAAAAACCAACAUACAGAAAACUCAGACACACACUCCUUGCUAACAACUAUGUACUGUCCUCCAACAGGAAUAAAGCAGUCCAGGUUCAUAACAGCUCACACCUCCUUCCAUUCCAGUAAUACUUCCCGACAUGCACAUUGUAGUCAUUUAGCAGAUGCUCUUAUCUAGAGCGACUUACAGGAGAAAUUAGGGUUAAGUGCCUUGCUCAAGGGCACAGACAGAUGUUUCACCUAGUCAGCUCUGGGAUUCGAACCAGUGACCUUUCAGUUACUUGCCCAACACUCUUAAUCGCUAGGCUACAUCCGUUAGGCAGGAGAAAACAUAGGCCCUAAUAACAACUACAUUAGCAUAGCACGGCCCUGAAUAUAAUAACUAACCUAAUAAUAACUACAUUAGCAUAGCACGGCCCUGAAUAUAAUAACUAACCUAAUAAUAACUACAUUAGCAUAGCACGGCCCUGAAUAUAAUAACUAACCUAAUAACAACUACAUUAGCAUAGCACGGCCCUGAAUAUAAUAACUAACCUAAUAAUAACUACAUUAGCAUAGCACGGCCCUGAAUAUAAUAACUAACCUAAUAACAACUACAUUAGCAUAGCACGGCCCUGAAUAUAAUAAC